AUUGAACGCUGGCGGCAUGCCUUACACAUGCAAGUCGAACGGCAGCACGGACUUCGGUCUGGUGGCGAGUGGCGAACGGGUGAGUAAUGUAUCGGAACGUACCUUUCAGUGGGGGAUAACGUAGCGAAAGUUACGCUAAUACCGCAUAUUCUGUGAGCAGGAAAGCAGGGGAUCGAAAGACCUUGCGCUGAUUGAGCGGCCGAUAUCAGAUUAGCUAGUUGGUGGGGUAAAGGCCUACCAAGGCGACGAUCUGUAGCGGGUCUGAGAGGAUGAUCCGCCACACUGGAACUGAGACACGGUCCAGACUCCUACGGGAGGCAGCAGUGGGGAAUUUUGGACAAUGGGGGCAACCCUGAUCCAGCCAUGCCGCGUGAGUGAAGAAGGCCUCCGGGUUGUAAAGCUCUUUCGGCCGGGAAGAAAUCGCAUAGGCUAAUACCCUGUGUGGAUGACGGUACCGGAAUAAGAAGCACCGGCUAACUACGUG
RNAcentral lists this ribosomal RNA (484 nucleotides) under uncultured bacterium. RNAcentral's name for it is "partial 16S ribosomal RNA". It matches the Rfam family "Bacterial small subunit ribosomal RNA", at positions 30 to 507 of the family's 1533-position model. The record is from RNAcentral.